RNAcentral lists this ribosomal RNA (253 nucleotides) under uncultured bacterium. RNAcentral's name for it is "partial 16S ribosomal RNA". It matches the Rfam family "Bacterial small subunit ribosomal RNA", at positions 524 to 776 of the family's 1533-position model. The record is from RNAcentral.
UACGUAGGGUGCGAGCGUUAAUCGGAAUUACUGGGUGUAAAGCGUGCGCAGGCGGUUCGUUAAGUCAGAUGUGAAAGCCCCGGGCUCAACCUGGGAACUGCAUUUGAAACUGGCGGGCUUGAGUGUGGCAGAGGGGGGUGGAAUUCCGCGUGUAGCAGUGAAAUGCGUAGAGAUGCGGAGGAACACCGAUGGCGAAGGCAGCCCCCUGGGCCAACACUGACGCUCAGGCACGAAAGCGUGGGGAGCAAACAGG